Molecule: long non-coding RNA, 427 nt
Filed under: Homo sapiens (human)
Lineage: Eukaryota; Metazoa; Chordata; Mammalia; Primates; Hominidae
Description: non-protein coding LINC02345:19
Source: RNAcentral
CCACCUUGUGAGGACACAGCAACAAGCUGCCCUCUUGGAAGCAGAAAGCAGCUCUCACCAGACAUCAAAUCUGCCAGCACAUUGAUCUUGGACUUCCCACCCUUCAGAACUACUGUCUGCGAGGGAUGAGCCUGAGGUGUCAGCAUCUUCACAGGUCUUUUGAGCCUGCAUGCACAAAAGGGUCUACUGUCCCUGGCUGCUUGAUAAUCUCUGGGAUCCUGCAUCUGCACUUACCAUGUCAGCUGGUCCACCCAGCUUCCUAUCACACUUCAGUUCCAUAAAUGGCUGCCUACAGAGGAAAGCUUCACAUGUGCCUAAAAACUCCCUUCAGAUCGUCAUCAGCCCGUAUUCAGCCACAAGGAGGUCUUUCAAUCUGAAACUCCAGAGAUAUUAAUAUCUAUCGCUGUACAAGCCAGCCCAGUUCUGG